This 170-nucleotide ribosomal RNA is filed under the name Actinomycetota bacterium. Its description in RNAcentral is "Actinobacteria bacterium partial 23S ribosomal RNA". It matches the Rfam family "Bacterial large subunit ribosomal RNA", at positions 2759 to 2925 of the family's 2925-position model. The record is from RNAcentral. Lineage: Bacteria; Bacillati; Actinomycetota.
AAGGGAUAACCGCUGAAAGCAUCUAAGCGGGAAGCUCGCUUCAAGAUUAGGUUUCCCACCGGUUUACCGGGUAAGGCCCCCAGCUAGACGACUGGGUUGAUAGGCCGGAAGUGGAAGAGGCGCAAGCCUUGGAGCUGACCGGUACUAAUAGGCCGAGGAUUUAACUACAA